GGCGCUAUAGCCAAGUGGUUACGGCGACAGAUUAGAAUCUUAUUUCAUCUGUUCCUCUUUGAGGGCGCAGGUUCAAAUCCUGCUGGCGUCG
This 91-nucleotide transfer RNA is filed under the name Lentinula lateritia. Its description in RNAcentral is "tRNA-Ser". It matches the Rfam family "tRNA". From Rfam's summary of the family: Transfer RNA (tRNA) molecules are approximately 80 nucleotides in length. Their secondary structure includes four short double-helical elements and three loops (D, anti-codon, and T loops). The record is from RNAcentral. Lineage: Eukaryota; Fungi; Basidiomycota; Agaricomycetes; Agaricales; Omphalotaceae.